GUUAAAUGGAUAAGAGGUGACAAAACUUCACCUUUUCAAUGCACAUACAGCCAUUAUCUAAAGCAGCAUGAGAGGUCAGUUAAUGCCUUUUAAAUCAAAGGAAGUACCUGAAUAGGUCUAAAUCUGUUUGGCUAAAUCUGUGCUUGUUGCUUCUGCUGGGUCAGGGGUUCCUAAUACAGGGCUCUUGCUGUGGAUUUCAGGGGAUUUGGUAAGCACCUUAAACUUGUGUUCCUGCUUUGAGUAGGGGAGUCAAUGACCCCCAAAACUACUGUCCCACG
This 278-nucleotide long non-coding RNA is filed under the name Bos taurus (domestic cattle). RNAcentral describes it as "long non-coding RNA NONBTAT014809". Lineage: Eukaryota; Metazoa; Chordata; Mammalia; Artiodactyla; Bovidae. The record is from RNAcentral.